Molecule: microRNA precursor, 130 nt
Filed under: Glycine max (soybean)
Lineage: Eukaryota; Viridiplantae; Streptophyta; Magnoliopsida; Fabales; Fabaceae
Description: miR156i stem-loop (gma-MIR156i)
Gene: gma-MIR156i
Source: miRBase by way of RNAcentral
UUAAGGUUGUUGACAGAAGAUAGAGAGCACAGAUGAUGAUAUGCAUAUUAUAUAAAAAGCAGCUAGGGAACUCAUGAAUUGUGCAUCUCACUCCUUUGUGCUCUCUAUACUUCUGUCAUCACCCUUCAGC